Molecule: ribosomal RNA, 231 nt
Filed under: uncultured bacterium
Lineage: Bacteria
Description: partial 16S ribosomal RNA
Rfam family: Bacterial small subunit ribosomal RNA
Source: RNAcentral
CGGGUGAGUAACGCGUGGGUAACCUGCCUCAUACAGGGGGAUAACAGUUAGAAAUGACUGCUAAUACCGCAUAAGCGCACAGGGUCGCAUGACCUGGUGUGAAAAACUCCGGUGGUAUGAGAUGGACCCGCGUCUGAUUAGCUAGUUGGCGAGGUAACGGCCCACCAAGGCGACGAUCAGUAGCCGACCUGAGAGGGUGAUCGGCCACAUUGGGACUGAGACACGGCCCAA